GCAUAAGCGCACGGUUCCGCAUGGAACAGUGUGAAAAACUCCGGUGGUAUACGAUGGAUCCGCGUCUGAUUAGCCAGUUGGCGGGGUAACGGCCCACCAAAGCGACGAUCAGUAGCCGGCCUGAGAGGGUGAACGGCCACAUUGGGACUGAGACACGGCCCAAACUCCUACGGGAGGCAGCAGUGGGGAAUAUUGCACAAUGGGGGAAACCCUGAUGCAGCGACGCCGCGUGAGUGAAGAAGUAUUUCGGUACGUAAAGCUCUAUCAGCAGGGAAGAAAAAAAGUCCUUUGGACUUUGGACGGUACCUGACCAAGAAGCCCCGGCUAACUACGUGCCAGCAGCCGCGGUAAUACGUAGGGGGCAAGCGUUAUCCGGAUUUACUGGGUGUAAAGGGAGCGUAGACGGCAGCGCAAGUCUGGAGUGAAAUGCCGGGGCCCAACCCCGGAACUGCUUUGGAAACUGUGCAGCUGGAGUGCAGGAGAGGUAAGCGGAAUUCCUAGUGUAGCGGUGAAAUGCGUAGAUAUUAGGAGGAACACCAGUGGCGAAGGCGGCUUACUGGACUGUAACUGACGUUGAGGCUCGAAAGCGUGGGGAGCAAACAGGAUUAGAUACCCUGGUAG
This 621-nucleotide ribosomal RNA is filed under the name uncultured bacterium. RNAcentral's name for it is "bacterial SSU rRNA". It matches the Rfam family "Bacterial small subunit ribosomal RNA", at positions 171 to 793 of the family's 1533-position model. The record is from RNAcentral.